This 29-nucleotide transfer RNA is filed under the name Rhododendron sanctum. Its description in RNAcentral is "partial tRNA-His". The record is from RNAcentral. Lineage: Eukaryota; Viridiplantae; Streptophyta; Magnoliopsida; Ericales; Ericaceae.
GGCGAAUGUAGCCAAGUGGUUAAGGCAGU